RNAcentral lists this transfer RNA (93 nucleotides) under Steccherinum ochraceum. It matches the Rfam family "tRNA". Rfam says of the family: Transfer RNA (tRNA) molecules are approximately 80 nucleotides in length. Their secondary structure includes four short double-helical elements and three loops (D, anti-codon, and T loops). Further hydrogen bonds mediate the characteristic L-shaped molecular structure. tRNAs have two regions of fundamental functional importance: the anti-codon, which is responsible for specific mRNA codon recognition, and the 3' end, to which the tRNAs corresponding amino acid is attached (by aminoacyl-tRNA synthetases). tRNAs cope with the degeneracy of the genetic code in two manners: having more than one tRNA (with a specific anti-codon) for a particular amino acid; and 'wobble' base-pairing, i.e. permitting non-standard base-pairing at the 3rd anti-codon position. Lineage: Eukaryota; Fungi; Basidiomycota; Agaricomycetes; Polyporales; Steccherinaceae. The record is from Rfam by way of RNAcentral.
GGGCGCAUGGUGUAGUUGGUUAUCACAUCCGCUUAGCAAGUCUUAUCGACUGCAAGUUGCGGGGGGUGCUGGGUUCAAUUCCCAGUGCGUCCA